AAAAGGGAAAGUGUCCACAUGAUUAGGCGGUGAGCUAGCUGUCCACUAGUGUUGCUUUCGGAUCUUUGUAGGAAAAAAAAGAUGGUAUGGAUUUAGAUGGUCCUCUUAGAUAUCUACAUCAUGUUCUGGUUGAUGUGGGAUUCAUUUUAUAACCGUUGAAGUCUUUCCUAUACAAGAUUUUUAUGGACAACCUAUGAGUAACUAGAAAGAGGUAGAAGUACAUCUUCGGUAGCAAAGCAUCUUUAUUUUUACUAUGGUUUUGUCUCACAUAUUAUCAUCUUUUUUGUGCAAGGAAACAAGCAUACAAAGUGACAACAACAAAUGGAGAGACUUGGGACCUACCAAUGCAGCAACUAAACAAAGGAAGCACAAGAGUUUGAUCUAGAGAGUCAGAAAAGUCUCACCAAAGGUUUCAAAAGCAAGAACCUGAAGCAAAAGCAAGAACCUGAAGUGAUGAACCAGACAAUCUACUUGCUAGAAGAAACUGGUUGGACGCCGAUGAUGAUGAGGGUUAACAUCAGUAGUUGCAACAACUCCGGUACCGCUCGCGCCACGUCUACUCCGUUGGUAUACAUGGGCUCAAGUAGUCACAACAAAGCACGAUUAUCACUCAUACAGUGAACGGCAAGAUUGUCACAAGGCCACCUUCAGGUUGUACGAACUCAUUGUUUAGUUUGACUUGGCGCUGCGGAACAUAUAUAUA
Molecule: long non-coding RNA, 703 nt
Organism: Lolium rigidum
Lineage: Eukaryota; Viridiplantae; Streptophyta; Magnoliopsida; Poales; Poaceae
Exons: 2
Source: RefSeq, a predicted model, not a curated record